UACGGGGGGGGCAAGCGUUGUUCGGAAUUACUGGGCGUAAAGGGCUCGUAGGCGGCCAACUAAGUCAGACGUGAAAUCCCUCGGCUUAACCGGGGAACUGCGUCUGAUACUGGAUGGCUGGAGUUUGGGAGAGGGAUGCGGAAUUCCAGGUGUAGCGGUGAAAUGCGUAGAUAUCUGGAGGAACACCGGUGGCGAAAGCGGCAUCCUGGACCAACACUGACACUGAGGAGCGAAAGCCAGGGGAGCAAACGGG
Molecule: ribosomal RNA, 253 nt
Filed under: uncultured bacterium
Lineage: Bacteria
Description: partial 16S ribosomal RNA
Rfam family: Bacterial small subunit ribosomal RNA
Source: RNAcentral